CCUGUGACCUUACACCAACCUGUGCUGCUGACAGUCUGACAGCAGGAGGCGCUACAGCUCACACAGGGGUCUGUUACUCUCUGAUGUCACCUUCCCUCAGGUGGAUGGAUCUCAAAGUGAAGAGGGACACAUCCUAAACUGUCCUCCUAAAGCGGAGGAGCUGUGAGGCAUCGUGACUUUCAUGGCUGUGUUGAAUACCGGAUUCUGAUUGGUCAAAGUCUCAUAACAACAGUGAUUCAACAGAAGCAAUGCCAGGGACAACCUGAUCACAGGUUUCCGUCUCUGCUGGUCCUGGAGCAACAUCCUGUCCUGCAAUCCAGGCAACCGCAGAGCUGAUGAGAGCUUCUCUGAGCUGCUGACCUCUACAAAGUCACCUCGACCAGAAGAGGAAGAGAUGAAAGCAAUUAAAAGUUGUGACAUGUGUCUCAUUUAUGUUUGAAGGUGUGUUAAUGCAAAGCUCUCAGAAGAGGGAGAGCUGAGGUUUUUUCAUCUCACAUGGAAAUGUUCAGUUUAAUGUGAUUAAUAACAAAUAAACCAGCUAAUGUUUUAACUU
Molecule: long non-coding RNA, 553 nt
Organism: Notolabrus celidotus (New Zealand spotty)
Lineage: Eukaryota; Metazoa; Chordata; Actinopteri; Labriformes; Labridae
Exons: 2
Source: RefSeq, a predicted model, not a curated record